CUUUGCCUUUAGAAAUUAGAACAAAGAAAUGAGUCCCUAAAGGCCAAAAAACAAAACCUUCAUUGUCUGUCCCUUUCUUCCCUCUCUUUUUUCUCUUGUGGAAACGUGCCGCCCCCCACUGUUCACUAAAAGCUCGAACCUGCAUGCGGGAAUAUAAGGUUAAGCUUUCUUCACUAUGCGUGGUGCAGCCUGCAGUGCACCACAAAUAUUUCUCAGGUUUCAGCUCUGCCUCACCCUAAACUUUUCCCUAUUUAUAUUUCAUUUCUUCAUCUUAUGUAUGUAAAUUGUCUAUAUAUAUACAUAUAUAUGACUUCCUUUGAAGAAAUUAACGAGCCAUGAAUGAGAAAAUGGGCAUGAACCCUUUUCUCUCCCUUCUCUAAGCAAGCUUGUUUUCCAUAGCAUUUCCUUCUGAUCUUUGCACGUCGAUGUUUCUGAUCAUGUUAAGCUCUGGGGUUUCUACUAUGCAUCGGCUUUCUUGCACUGAUGAUCAAAAGAGGAUGGUUAAGCUUCUCUUUCGAUUUUAUAUGAUGGGUGGCUUUGAUAGCUGCCUUUCAGUGAAUGUAGAGCUUCACUCCCGGUGAGAAAAGGUAGCAUGGGAAUGGAGAUCAUCCAUGCAAAGGGGAAUCAAGCGUUCCUGGUCCGACCACAUUACUUAUCUGUUUUAUGUUUGUUCUUUGUUCUUUUUGGGGAUGAAUGGUUAAACAGGUUAGCCUGCAAUACUUAUUCAUGUGUUCAUCACCCUGGCUUUCUUAUUCUUUGUCAAAUUUACUUUAUUUUAGGAUUGAAGAACAUCGAUUAUUAGUAUACAAAGAAAAUGUUCUUGCAGUAUUGUAUGUGAGGUGAAUAAGCAGCUAGAUCCGAGUGAAAGAUAGAGCUGCUGUUUCAGGCAGAUGAAAUUUUUAGGAAUGUAAGAAAUGUGUGUGAGUGCUUCAUGUAAUAAAAGUUUCAUUUCUAUUUGCUCAAUGUUUUUCUUUGUGUGUGUUUGUAUUCUUCCUUCCCUGGCAAAUUUCCAUCAAAGUUCCUGCCAUUUCUGCAACUUAGAACUGUAGAUCUGGUGACAAUAUAGAGCCAAUUUUCUAUAUGGAUGUUUUCACCAUGAGAGGGCUUCCCUUGUUCCAGAUGUUGCUGAUCUUGCUGCAUAUAAUUAAUUUUCCCUUUUGUCUUCUUUUGCUUCUGAUGCAAUCAAUUCUGUCUUCAUAUGUUCUCUAAUGGAAAUAGAUUAUGUGAAUAUAGAACAGCAUAAGAACAAGAAAUGGUAAAAUCAUUUGAUGCACUUGGGAAUAGGAAUUUUUAGAUAUGUAGUCAGGCAUGUCCCUUGCCCUUCCAAAGCAUCAAAACUAGUGAGAUUUGGUGAAUGGUCUUAUUCAAAUCAGUCUGCUAAAAGGGAAAAGAGCUAGUGAGCUUUGCUUUUAUGCAAAUAGUAGUGGAAGUGGCUGCUCCAUUUUGGGAGGACAAAGGGAGUUGAAGGACUCUUGCAGAUUUCUCCUUUUCACAUGCGACUAAUUUUCUCUGAGCAUGCAAAAACUAUUUGCUUUCCCACUUGUU
RNAcentral lists this long non-coding RNA (1545 nucleotides) under Theobroma cacao (cacao). RNAcentral's name for it is "long non-coding RNA (TCAC_LNC001509)". The record is from RNAcentral. Lineage: Eukaryota; Viridiplantae; Streptophyta; Magnoliopsida; Malvales; Malvaceae.